ACGGAGGAUGCAAGCGUUAUCCGGAUUCAUUGGGUUUAAAGGGUGCGCAGGCGGAAUGAUAAGUCAGUGGUGAAAUCCUACGGAUCAACUGUAGAACUGCUAUUGAUACUGUCGUUCUUGAGUACACUUGGAGUGGGCGGAAUGUGUCAUGUAUCGAUGAAAUGCUUAGAUAUGACACAGAACACCGAUCGCGUAGGCAUCUCACUAAAUUGUAACUAACGCUCAGGCACGAAAGCGUGGUGAUCAAACAG
This 251-nucleotide ribosomal RNA is filed under the name uncultured prokaryote. RNAcentral describes it as "partial 16S rRNA". It matches the Rfam family "Bacterial small subunit ribosomal RNA", at positions 525 to 775 of the family's 1533-position model. The record is from RNAcentral.